RNAcentral lists this ribosomal RNA (1016 nucleotides) under Salmonella enterica. Its description in RNAcentral is "bacterial SSU rRNA". It matches the Rfam family "Bacterial small subunit ribosomal RNA", at positions 108 to 1120 of the family's 1533-position model. The record is from RNAcentral. Lineage: Bacteria; Pseudomonadati; Pseudomonadota; Gammaproteobacteria; Enterobacterales; Enterobacteriaceae.
GAGUAAUGUCUGGGAAACUGCCUGAUGGAGGGGGAUAACUACUGGAAACGGUGGCUAAUACCGCAUAACGUCGCAAGACCAAAGAGGGGGACCUUCGGGCCUCUUGCCAUCAGAUGUGCCCAGAUGGGAUUAGCUUGUUGGUGAGGUAACGGCUCACCAAGGCGACGAUCCCUAGCUGGUCUGAGAGGAUGACCAGCCACACUGGAACUGAGACACGGUCCAGACUCCUACGGGAGGCAGCAGUGGGGAAUAUUGCACAAUGGGCGCAAGCCUGAUGCAGCCAUGCCGCGUGUAUGAAGAAGGCCUUCGGGUUGUAAAGUACUUUCAGCGGGGAGGAAGGUGUUGUGGUUAAUAACCGCAGCAAUUGACGUUACCCGCAGAAGAAGCACCGGCUAACUCCGUGCCAGCAGCCGCGGUAAUACGGAGGGUGCAAGCGUUAAUCGGAAUUACUGGGCGUAAAGCGCACGCAGGCGGUCUGUCAAGUCGGAUGUGAAAUCCCCGGGCUCAACCUGGGAACUGCAUUCGAAACUGGCAGGCUUGAGUCUUGUAGAGGGGGGUAGAAUUCCAGGUGUAGCGGUGAAAUGCGUAGAGAUCUGGAGGAAUACCGGUGGCGAAGGCGGCCCCCUGGACAAAGACUGACGCUCAGGUGCGAAAGCGUGGGGAGCAAACAGGAUUAGAUACCCUGGUAGUCCACGCCGUAAACGAUGUCUACUUGGAGGUUGUGCCCUUGAGGCGUGGCUUCCGGAGCUAACGCGUUAAGUAGACCGCCUGGGGAGUACGGCCGCAAGGUUAAAACUCAAAUGAAUUGACGGGGGCCCGCACAAGCGGUGGAGCAUGUGGUUUAAUUCGAUGCAACGCGAAGAACCUUACCUGGUCUUGACAUCCACAGAAGAAUCCAGAGAUGGAUUUGUGCCUUCGGGAACUGUGAGACAGGUGCUGCAUGGCUGUCGUCAGCUCGUGUUGUGAAAUGUUGGGUUAAGUCCCGCAACGAGCGCAACCCUUAUCCUUUGUUGCCA